CUCCUCUCAGGAUAGCAUCUGGAGAGUUUCUCGGACUUCACCAGUUUCAGACACGAGAGGGAGAGUCAAGCAGAGGCCUGCCCAUUCCAUUCCUAUCUUGGGCAUUGGCUAGCGAGUGGCAGGCAAUCUGCUACAAGU
This is a small nucleolar RNA of Ornithorhynchus anatinus (platypus), 138 nucleotides long. The record is from RefSeq and is a predicted model, not a curated record. NCBI's taxonomy places the organism in Eukaryota, Metazoa, Chordata, Mammalia, Monotremata, Ornithorhynchidae.